AGAGUUUGAUCCUGGCUCAGAACGAACGCUGGCGGCGUGCUUAACACAUGCAAGUCGAACGUGAUCCGGAGCUUGCUCCGGUGAAAGUGGCGCACGGGUGAGUAACGCGUGGAUAAUCUGCCCUGGUAUCUGGGAUAACAUCUCGAAAGGGGUGCUAAUACCGGAUAAGCCUACGGACUCUUCGGAGUCUGCAGGAAAAGGUGGCCUCUAUUUAUAAGCUACCGUAUCAGGAUGAGUCCGCGUACCAUUAGCUAGUUGGUGGGGUAAUGGCCCACCAAGGCUACGAUGGUUAGCUGGUCUGAGAGGAUGAUCAGCCACACUGGAACUGAGACACGGUCCAGACUCCUACGGGAGGCAGCAGUGGGGAAUUUUGCGCAAUGGGGGAAAGCCUGACGCAGCAACGCCGCGUGAGUGAUGAAGGCUUUCGGGUCGUAAAGCUCUGUCAAUGGGAAAGAAGUGUAUUGGAGCUAAUAUCUCCGAUACUUGACGGUACCCAUAAAGGAAGCACCGGCUAACUCCGUGCCAGCAGCCGCGGUAA
This 538-nucleotide ribosomal RNA is filed under the name uncultured bacterium. RNAcentral's name for it is "bacterial SSU rRNA". It matches the Rfam family "Bacterial small subunit ribosomal RNA", at positions 8 to 523 of the family's 1533-position model. The record is from RNAcentral.